RNAcentral lists this transfer RNA (73 nucleotides) under Lactiplantibacillus mudanjiangensis. RNAcentral describes it as "Lactobacillus mudanjiangensis tRNA-Trp(cca)". It matches the Rfam family "tRNA". Rfam says of the family: Transfer RNA (tRNA) molecules are approximately 80 nucleotides in length. Their secondary structure includes four short double-helical elements and three loops (D, anti-codon, and T loops). Further hydrogen bonds mediate the characteristic L-shaped molecular structure. tRNAs have two regions of fundamental functional importance: the anti-codon, which is responsible for specific mRNA codon recognition, and the 3' end, to which the tRNAs corresponding amino acid is attached (by aminoacyl-tRNA synthetases). tRNAs cope with the degeneracy of the genetic code in two manners: having more than one tRNA (with a specific anti-codon) for a particular amino acid; and 'wobble' base-pairing, i.e. permitting non-standard base-pairing at the 3rd anti-codon position. Lineage: Bacteria; Bacillati; Bacillota; Bacilli; Lactobacillales; Lactobacillaceae. The record is from RNAcentral.
UACAGACAUAAUUCAAUGGUAGAUGAGCGGCCUCCAAAGCCGUUAACGUGGGUUCGAUUCCUGCUGUCUGUGU